Molecule: transfer RNA, 66 nt
Filed under: Argiope amoena
Lineage: Eukaryota; Metazoa; Arthropoda; Arachnida; Araneae; Araneidae
Description: tRNA-Gln
Source: RNAcentral
UUUGUUAAAGUGUUAAGCACUUAAAAAUUUGAUUUUUAAAGAGAUACUAAAAGUAUCUAACAAAAU